CUGAGUGCCUAUUUUCGCAGUCUGACCACCUGUGAAGGGCUGUUUAAUGACGAUUUGGACUCCUCUGGGAGAUGAGGACACACCCACACCUGUUCCAUACUGCAGCCAUUGAUGGUGUUACGGCUCUGAGUCAGCUUUGGGCCAUCAGACGCACACACUGGAAAACCAGCACCUGGACUUCAUGCAGGAGAGACGGCCUCAGUGAUGAUGGACUCUGCAUCCUCUACUUUACCUCCUAACCUCUUUCUCUUUAACACACAAUUAAAAUCUUAGUGAGGAACUUGUACACAUUUGUACUUUCACUUGUUUUAUGAGUUAUUUUUAAGAAGAGUAAAGCUAUUCACAAAGUUUUUA
Neolamprologus brichardi is the source of this 354-nucleotide non-coding RNA. NCBI's taxonomy places the organism in Eukaryota, Metazoa, Chordata, Actinopteri, Cichliformes, Cichlidae. The record is from RefSeq and is a predicted model, not a curated record.